RNAcentral lists this ribosomal RNA (490 nucleotides) under uncultured bacterium. Its description in RNAcentral is "partial 16S ribosomal RNA". It matches the Rfam family "Bacterial small subunit ribosomal RNA", at positions 30 to 507 of the family's 1533-position model. The record is from RNAcentral.
AUUGAACGCUGGCGGCAGGCCUAACACAUGCAAGUCGAACGGUAACAGGAAGAAGCUUGCUUCUUUGCUGACGAGUGGCGGACGGGUGAGUAAUGUCUGGGAAACUGCCUGAUGGAGGGGGAUAACUACUGGAAACGGUAGCUAAUACCGCAUAACGUCGCAAGACCAAAGAGGGGGACCUUCGGGCCUCUCGCCUUCGGAUGUGCCCAGAUGGGAUUAGCGAGUAGGUGGGGUAAAGGCUCACCUAGGCGACGAUCCCUAGCUGGUCUGAGAGGAUGACCAGCCACACUGGAACUGAGACACGGUCCAGACUCCUACGGGAGGCAGCAGUGGGGAAUAUUGCACAAUGGGCGCAAGCCUGAUGCAGCCAUGCCGCGUGUAUGAAGAAGGCCUUCGGGUUGUAAAGUACUUUCAGCGGGGAGGAAGGGAGUAAAGUUAAUACCUUUGCUCAUUGACGUUACCCGCAGAAGAAGCACCGGCUAACUCCGUG